AUUUUGCAGCGAGGUUGAGUUUACAAUUUGCCAACAAUUUGCAUUAUAUGCUGAUGCUUUGUUAUAAUUUAUUUUUGACGUUUGGUUAUCGAAGAAAAGAUGGAUGAAGCGAAAUCCAAGCCCCGUGACGACUGUUUGCCGCUGAGCAAAAUUCGCACCAUCAUGAAGAGUUCGCCGGACAUUGAGCUGGUCAGCCAGGAGUCUCUGCCGAUCGUGUGCCGCGCCACGGAAAUGUUUAUCCAACACUUCAUAACGCAAGCCUAUGUGCACAGCAAAGACAAGAAAUGCAUCGGCUAUGGCGACAUCGCCGUCGCAGUAGAGAAUGAAGAAAACUUGCAUUUCUUGUCAGAUAUUCUACCACGGAAACGUCUAGCUGGCGAGUGCAUAGAUAUGAGUAAGAAGAAGUCCUCAAGUCCGACGAAGUCCCACCCAGAGCCCCAGCGGUGAUGUUCUGUACGUGCCUCCAUAAUGUUUGCUCCGUGGCGCAAUGCAUAUGCUGUCUUCUUAUUUCAGCGUUCCGUCUUGCAGGACCGCCCGUGGCCUUUGUUACGAUGGAAUGGUGAUAAAGAACUGUUCGUUUUAGUGCUGUAUUGCGUAGGUCUCCUCGCUCAUCGUCAUGUGUAAAAAAUCAUCCUAUUCACACUGUAUCCGUCAAGCUCACCUUUAUAAAUACAAACAUUCCGAUAUA
RNAcentral lists this long non-coding RNA (688 nucleotides) under Amphibalanus amphitrite. RNAcentral's name for it is "uncharacterized LOC122392386, transcript variant X2". The record is from RNAcentral. Lineage: Eukaryota; Metazoa; Arthropoda; Thecostraca; Balanomorpha; Balanidae.